CCUACGGGUGGCAGCAGUGAGGAAUAUUGGUCAAUGGACGAGAGUCUGAACCAGCCAAGUCGCGUGAGGGAUGACGGCCCUACGGGUUGUAAACCUCUUUUGUCGGGGAGCAAAGAGAGUCACGUGUGGAUCAUUGAGAGUACCCGAAGAAAAAGCAUCGGAUAACUCCGUGCCAGCAGCCGCGGUAAUACGGAGGAAGCGAGCGUUAUCCGGAUUUAUUGGGUUGAAAGGGUGCGCAGGCGGAGGUGGAAGUCAGUGGUCAAAUUGCGGGGCUCAACCCCGUACUGCCGUUGAAACUGCAUCCCUUGAGUGCGCGAGAGUUAUGCGGAAUGCGUGGUGUAGCGGUGAAAUGCAUAGAUAUCACGCAGAACUCCGAUUGCGAAGGCAGCAUACCGGCGCGCAACUGACGCUCAUGCACGAAAGCGUGGGUAUCGAACAGGAUUAAUACCCCUGUAGUC
This 458-nucleotide ribosomal RNA is filed under the name uncultured bacterium. RNAcentral describes it as "partial 16S ribosomal RNA". It matches the Rfam family "Bacterial small subunit ribosomal RNA", at positions 338 to 795 of the family's 1533-position model. The record is from RNAcentral.